RNAcentral lists this ribosomal RNA (450 nucleotides) under uncultured bacterium. Its description in RNAcentral is "bacterial SSU rRNA". It matches the Rfam family "Bacterial small subunit ribosomal RNA", at positions 29 to 524 of the family's 1533-position model. The record is from RNAcentral.
AACGAACGCUGGCGGCAUGCCUAACACAUGCAAGUCGAACGAAGCCUUCGGGCUUAGUGGCGCACGGGUGCGUAACACGUGGGAAUCUGCCCUUCGGUUCGGAAUAACAGUUAGAAAUGACUGCUAAUACCGGAUGAUGACGAAAGUCCAAAGAUUUGUCGCCGAAGGAUGAGCCCGCGUAGGAUUAGGUAGUUGGUAGGGUAAUGGCCUACCAAGCCGACGAUCCUUAGCUGGUCUGAGAGGAUGAUCAGCCACACUGGGACUGAGACACGGCCCAGACUCCUACGGGAGGCAGCAGUGGGGAAUAUUGGACAAUGGGCGAAAGCCUGAUCCAGCAAUGCCGCGUGAGUGAUGAAGGCCUUAGGGUUGUAAAGCUCUUUUACCAGGGAUGAUAAUGACAGUACCUGGAGAAUAAGCUCCGGCUAACUCCGUGCCAGCAGCCGCGGUAAU